RNAcentral lists this ribosomal RNA (374 nucleotides) under uncultured prokaryote. Its description in RNAcentral is "bacterial SSU rRNA". It matches the Rfam family "Bacterial small subunit ribosomal RNA", at positions 524 to 896 of the family's 1533-position model. The record is from RNAcentral.
UACGUAGGGAGCGAGCGUUGUCCGAAUUUACUGGGCGUAAAGCGCACGUAGGCGGACUAUUAAGUUGGUGGUGAAAUGCCGAGGCUCAACCUCGGAACUGCCUCCAAAACUGUUAGUCUUGAGGUAUGGAGAGGGAACUGGAAUUCCAGGUGUAGCGGUGAAAUGCGUAGAUAUCUGGAGGAACACCCAUGGCGAAGGCAGGUUCCUGGCCAUAUCCUGACGCUGAGGUGCGAAAGCUAGGGGAGCGAACGGGAUUAGAUACCCCGGUAGUCCUAGCCGUAAACGAUGGAUACUAGGUGUUAGUGGUAUCGACCCCACUAGUGCCGGAGCUAACGCAUUAAGUAUCCCGCCUGGGGAGUACGGCCGCAAGGUUG